This is a long non-coding RNA of Brassica oleracea var. oleracea, 814 nucleotides long. RefSeq lists it as uncharacterized. The transcript has 2 exons. NCBI's taxonomy places the organism in Eukaryota, Viridiplantae, Streptophyta, Magnoliopsida, Brassicales, Brassicaceae. The record is from RefSeq and is a predicted model, not a curated record.
CAAUAACAACACACAAAAAAUGUAUUUUCUCUCUAUACUCUCUACUCUCUACUCUUUAAUAUCCUAACAUGGCAAUGCUCAUCAAGAACAAAAACAUAACCUUCUCACUGGUCUUGAUAUGUCUAAUUGUGGUGUCUCCAGUGGCUAAGGCUCAACUUGAUGGGCUUCUUGGCAGGGAUCCUAAAAUCGUCAGUAUACAAGGGCGUAUGACGUGCUCUAUCGAUGGUAAUCCGAUUUCCACUCCUCCAGAUGGUUCUCCCGUUAAUAAACAGGGCCGUUAUGCUUCAGUGUGGUGGAAAAAAUGUUGCAACUACGAAUACGGACGUUGGUGGAGGAUUCUCGUUUCCUUCCAAACACAGUGUCUACGAUCCCGCUUUCAGAAGUCAUCUACGACGGUUGUAGCGCCAUGGCAUGACCCCUCUCUCUACAUGCAACCCCAGCCCCCCUACCAACAGAGUCGUCAUGGUACGUGUAGGUCCCAUCGUAAUCGUCGUUUCCAACGAAAAUAACAUGGAGGUAUUCAGAGAACUGGUCACCCCUCUCGUUGUCACCCUCUCCCGCUGAUUUCAUACUAAUUAAGUAUCCCUUCUCUUGGUUUGGUUACUGUGUUUCCGUUCUGUUGUUUUAUGUUUUGUGUUUUGUGUCAUGACCAUUAACGUUUGCUUGCGUAUGCAUGUAUCCAUGAAUAAGGUCUACAUAAUAAGGUGUAUGUCUCUAUGUUCAAAGUACUGUGGUCGUAACUUCUGUACCAGGUCUUAGUUUUCAUGCAUAAUGCUGCAAUGCAAUGUAAUGAAAUGAAGUAAUUUACUUUUUA